RNAcentral lists this ribosomal RNA (460 nucleotides) under uncultured bacterium. RNAcentral's name for it is "partial 16S ribosomal RNA". It matches the Rfam family "Bacterial small subunit ribosomal RNA", at positions 338 to 795 of the family's 1533-position model. The record is from RNAcentral.
CCUACGGGUGUCAGCAGUGAGGAAUAUUGGUCAAUGGACGAGAGUCUGAACCAGCCAAGUAGCGUGAGGGAUGACUGCCCUUUGGGUUGUAAACUUCUUUUAUAUGGGAAUAAAUUGUUCCAAGUGUGGGAUUUUGUAUGUACCAUAUGAAUAAGGAUCGGGUAACUCCGUGCCAGCAGCGGCGGUAAUCGGGAGGAUCCGUGCGUUAUCCGGAUUUAUUGGGUUUAAAGGGGGCGUAGGUGGAUUGGUAAGUCAGUUGUGAAAGUUUGCGGCUCAACCGUAAAAUUGCAGUUGAAACUGGCAGUCUUGAGUACAGUAGAGGUGGGCGGAAUUCGUGGUGUAGCGGUGAAAUGCUUAGAUAUCACGAAGAACUCCGAUUGCGAAGGCAGUUCACUGGACUGCAACUGACACUGAGGCUCGAAAGUGUGGGUAUCAAACAGGAUUAGAUACCCCAGUAGUC